RNAcentral lists this long non-coding RNA (608 nucleotides) under Neodiprion lecontei (redheaded pine sawfly). Its description in RNAcentral is "uncharacterized LOC124295267". Lineage: Eukaryota; Metazoa; Arthropoda; Insecta; Hymenoptera; Diprionidae. The record is from RNAcentral.
ACUCGUUUCCUGAUUGGUUGAAGGUUCAGGCUCCUGGAACAACUGAGCCGAACUCUUGUUCGAGGUCUGGAAAGAUUCAGUUGCUAUAGCUCACCUCUCCUGUUCUCAAACUUAAAGUUACUCGACAUCUUGAGUGACGAGCAGCAGCAUCUUACAUCUAUAGACUCCGGAGUUUCAUCACGAUUCUACAUAUAGACGCCCUCUAGGGUAACCGCCUCAUCGCAUCUUGGCGAGGGAUCAACUUGUCUGGAUAUCAAAGGAAAACUACGAACACCUACAGUUUCUGUCUUAAAUAUAACAGUGAAUGAAGAAAUCAACAUGGCCGUCAUCAGCCCACCUGAGACCGUAUUUCGGCUCUGAGGAGAUUUCUAGCGCUUAGAAGUUAUCCAGUCUUGUUCCAAACUGAAGAACAAAAUGGCACGAAUAGAUCGGUUGCAAUUUCACCCCUAAUAAAAGCCCUGAUGCUGAAAAUUGAGCGCGUAAAACUGUCCGUUUUACUACUUGUACAAGUCUCGUUAUACAUGUGUCUCAAUAUAUUAGUUUGUAACAUUAUAUGGGGCAUAUACAUACCUCUAGACAUGGGUACCUAUGUGAAUUUUUAAUAAAAA